Passer montanus (Eurasian tree sparrow) is the source of this 1630-nucleotide long non-coding RNA. RefSeq lists it as uncharacterized. Lineage: Eukaryota; Metazoa; Chordata; Aves; Passeriformes; Passeridae. The transcript is spliced from 3 exons. The record is from RefSeq and is a predicted model, not a curated record.
CUGCUGGAGUAAAAGGAGAAGGAGCUGCAUGGAGGUGCACAGCAUGCCUGGGCAGGAGAAAAGCUUUAUCAACUAGACCAGUUGUGGAUGUUCAGAAAAAGGACAAAAAGCACAGUCAGAGCUGUAGAAAACAAGAUGUGCAGAAAUAUGGUUUAUUUAAUCUUCACAUAAGAGGACUGAAAUGAACUUACAAAGCAGCUGCAGAUAAGAGAAAGACAAACAGCUCUUCAUGUGCGCUGAUGAUAGGACAAAGAGUAAUUGGUUUCCACCCCACUAAGAGAACUUCAGGUUGGCUACCCUAGGAGACUUCUGAUGUGAUUAAUUUUGUGCUAGGAAGUCUUGUUCAAGAAUCUGUGAAACCUCCACCCCAGGAGGGUCUCAUAAACAGCUGAGGCAGGAAUGAUUUAAGUGUUCAUGAGACCAGCUGAUCCUGCCUUAGAGGAGUUGAAGAGUUGUAGGUUAAAACACGUCUGUGAAAUAUCUUCCAACAUUGUCUCCAAAUAUCUCAUUUUAUUUUCUCAAAUACCUUGGAUUAGGACAGGACUCAUGGCUCAGAAUUGAUUCAAAGUUUGGGGUUGUUCAUGCCUUAGCCAAGACGUUGGGUUCCACAGCUCUCUCCAUUUCACAUCCAUUUCACUUUCCAGCUCAUGCAGAGUGGGGUGAAAACCAAAAUCCAAGCAAGGCACCAGCACUGGGACCAUAACCUCACAGGCAGCCAGCCCCUGGCUGUUGAUAUCAGAGCCUUGCAGAGCUUCCUCACCUGCUACCAUCUAAUCCCCACAGUGCUUAACCUGAAUCCUGACCCCUCUCUUUCCUGCUCAAGUGGCACCUCCUCAGGGAAAGAACUGAGUGUACAACAGUGAACCUUUCUUGGAUGCCAGGCUCAGGAAUGAUCACGGACAGAAACCCAGGGAAAGAACUGAGUGAAGAACAGUGAACCUUUUUUGGAUGUCAGGCUCAGGAAUGGUGAUGGACAGAAGCUGUUAAAGUGCAGAACAAGGCCAAAGCUUGAGGCUGCCCGGGUGCUGCCCUGUGCUGUCAGACCAGUUCCUCUGCCCUUCUUCUCACCCAAAUACCCAAGCUCAGAGCAGAAAGGACAAGCUGCCUCUCAGCUGACUUGCAUCCCCUUGCAGGGCUGUAACUGUGCAGGAGGCAUGAAGGCAGGCAGGUCAGCACCAGACCCACCUCAGAGCUCCCAGUUUGGUUUUCUGAAAGCAGAAGCAAGAGCUCCUCACCAUCUCAGGAACUACAUCAGUAUCUAAACCUGGAUGUAACAACACAAAAUUGUGACAAAUGUCACAAAAAUGUGACUUCUGCCUCAAAUGAGAACUUCCAUGAAAUGGCAUCUGCUGAAGAGCUCAUGGGAAGGAAUAUUCCAUUUUCCUACCCCAAGGAAGAAGCUUGGGGAACAAGAGACCUCUUCCCAGACAAAAGAUGGAGAGGUUAUGUCACACACCAAAUAUGCAGAAAUGGAAGUGCAGGAACAUUACACCAAUCACUGCUAAUCAACAUCACCUCAUCCAGCCAAAAUGGCAGUAAACUUGGGAGUGUCUUUGAAAAAGACUAAAUAACAGAAUUAUCUUAAAAAAAGAAAAAAGUCAGAGUUUUGCCAAAACCUAUUAUAUGCACU